GGAGUAGAGGCUGAUGGGCUGGCAGGGUGGUCCAUGUCUGGGCAACAUUAGGAGCCAGGAGAAAAUGGAUUAAAGCCCAGAACCUGAUUGUGUCCCUUCUUAACCUCUGGGCUCCAUCCCUACCCCAGAGGAGAAGGAGAGGAAGCCACCUGCUGUUCCUACAGGGCUUCUGGGAGAGGAGCAAACUAAAGUCCUCCUUGAUGGCAGGAGACUCCCUUUGUAAGCCAGAAAGGCCCCUGACCAGGAUGGAGAGGCCUGGUCCUGCCAUUUGCCAUAUCACAGCUUCCCCACCUAUAAAACAGUUUCCACCAAAGCAGAUGAUCUCCACUGGUGCUGAUGUCCAAAGCACCUGAAUUUUAAAAUUCAGGCGAAUUCUUCAUUCUACUCAAUAAGUAUUUGUGUUUAUUUUACUAUAACAAAUAACGUUUUAAAUUACUUCCAAGUAAAACAAACAGUCCAGAAAGAUGCACCAGAUGGUUUCAGGUUAGCCCCCACCCCCACAGAGCUCUUUCCAGCCCAGUUUGGAGAGUGUGGCUCUAGCAUUUAUGGAC
This 551-nucleotide long non-coding RNA is filed under the name Marmota monax (woodchuck). The record is from RNAcentral. Lineage: Eukaryota; Metazoa; Chordata; Mammalia; Rodentia; Sciuridae.